UAGAAAUAUGAAAUGAGAGCAGGAGAGCACUCCCCUUGGUUAGGAUGGAAGAAGCCCUAAUGAACUUAACCAUGUUUAAGACAGUCACUCACUUUU
Molecule: small nuclear RNA, 96 nt
Organism: Harpia harpyja (harpy eagle)
Lineage: Eukaryota; Metazoa; Chordata; Aves; Accipitriformes; Accipitridae
Source: RefSeq, a predicted model, not a curated record